Molecule: unclassified non-coding RNA, 494 nt
Filed under: Hevea brasiliensis (rubber tree)
Lineage: Eukaryota; Viridiplantae; Streptophyta; Magnoliopsida; Malpighiales; Euphorbiaceae
Source: RNAcentral
AACACUGAUGUGAUAGAUACAUAAUGUUGACGUGAUGACAUACGACAACAGUUGUGAAACUUAUAUGGACUAACUCCAGCCCACAGAGCAAAACCGGACUUCUCCCAGAGUCCCAUGCCUAAAUGCAUCAACACAGUGGACUUAUAAAACAGGCAUUUUCACGUCUUCUUGAAAUGGUAAGCUCUCUAGAAACAGGUAUCGUGUUCAAUACAUGCUCAUACACAUCCGUGCCUAACUUGGAGACCCAAAUAAAUCAGUAGUUACAUGCAAAACACCUGCAGUCAAUUCAACGCUUUUAUGCCAAGGGAGAAAAAUACAACUUUAAGAAUUAAAUUUUCUAACACUUGUUCCAGGCAAACGGAGAAGUCUUGCAGCCCAAGUCCUCAUCAACAUUCGAAACAUCAAAUCUUAUAUCUGAAAAGAUUUCUUAGUCUUUCUCAAAUUAAGUUUAAAUCAGCCUUUUUUAAAAAACACAAUUUCAUAUGCAGUUUGAA